UACGUAGGGGGCAAGCGUUGUCCGGAUUUAUUGGGCGUAAAGAGCGUGUAGGCGGCCAUACAGGUCAGCUGUGAAAACUCGAGGCUCAACCUCGAGACGUCGGUUGAAACCGUAUGGCUAGAGUCCGGAAGAGGAGAGUGGAAUUCCCGGUGUAGCGGUGAAAUGCGCAGAUAUCGGGAAGAACACCCGUGGCGAAGGCGGCACUCUGGGACGGUACUGACGCUGAGACGCGAAAGCGUGGGGAGCGAACAGG
RNAcentral lists this ribosomal RNA (253 nucleotides) under uncultured bacterium. Its description in RNAcentral is "partial 16S ribosomal RNA". It matches the Rfam family "Bacterial small subunit ribosomal RNA", at positions 524 to 776 of the family's 1533-position model. The record is from RNAcentral.